Molecule: long non-coding RNA, 2898 nt
Filed under: Mus musculus (house mouse)
Lineage: Eukaryota; Metazoa; Chordata; Mammalia; Rodentia; Muridae
Description: predicted gene 45903
Source: RNAcentral
CUGAGGCUCAUCUAGAUUCUGCUGUGUGCUUAAAGUCACUCUUGACAAUGGCCCUAAUCAGAGCAGAAUCUGUUUCUGCUGUCUUCCAAGUGAGCAUCUACAGUCUCUGGGAGAUGAUCACAUUAUUCCUCCCUCCAUGUCUCCAAUACCUGGCCCAGCGAGGGUUUUGUUACUAUUGGCAGCGGAACACAGAGGAGUUGACAUCCAAGGUAGGACAGGUUCUGCUCGACUUCACCAUGGUGACUGGAUUCAGGGACCCCACAUCUCUCAGCCGCAACCUUGUUUCUCCCAUGUCCUCUGCCAAGUCCAGGAGCCUCCAGGUCUCAGGGCAGAGGAAGUCAGCUCCAGCUCUCUAUCAGAGGAACUACAGGUGGCCAUAUUUGCAGAUGAAUUUCCACAGGAAGUGGCAGGAUUUGGGAACUGAGAUGGGGACUGAGAUGUGAAUCGAUUCAAAGCCAAGUGGCUCAGCCUCAGGACAUUACGCUUAGUGCUGCCAGCCCUGCUCUUAAAUGGGACCUUGCAGGGCUUCACUGCCUCCACCUGGCUUUCCCAGAGCUGCCUUCCUUUUCUUCAUGCAACCCCAGCAGCAGGACGUUACUUAAAGGAAAGAAACCACACCAAGACUAUAGUCAUUACCCCCAGGAAUACUGGGUUCUAUUUUUGGUGGAUGUGAGGUCUCUGGCCUUGAUCCCCACUCUGCAGUCAUCACUUGGGACAGAACACCCUCUAUGUGCUAUACACCCAGGAAACCUGGUGCCAGUGAGAGAGGAACAGCCUCUGGAAGGGCAGCAAGGACCAGCCUAUGUUGGGCUGGGGUUCAUUCCCAGUGUCAGAGAAGGACUACUUUUAUUGAGCAUCUACUGUUUACUGAGUUCUGGGCACAUCUGCCCCUUGCUUUCCUUGAAGCUUCAUCUUCUAUUCUCUACUUCCCAGUCAACAUGGAGGACUAUUGCUUUUUCAAACAGGUCACUUUUUCUUUCCAGCCUUUGUAUGUUCUGUUCCCUGUGUCUAUGCAAGUCCUCUCUGGUCACUCUAUCUUCUUUGCUAGAUUGUGGGCUCCCAGAGCUACAUGUUUUUAGCUACUGCUUGGUGCUAGCCAAGCAGUCUUUGCUUGUUGGCUGACUGCUGGAAUGAACGAGUAAUUCCCAUCCAAGCCCAUUUGACAGAUGAAAUCACUAAGGCUCAUAGAGAACUAGCUUACUUAGGUAGGGCAAGGCAGGAUGAGAAGCAGAGGCUGGACUUGAACCCAGAUAUGUUUGCUCAUCAAGUUUAUACCUUUUCUGCUAGAGCUGACUCUGAAAGAUAAAAGAAAGGGCUGGAAAUGGUGAUGGGGAGCACAAGGCUACCCUCUGUCCCACUGCUUACAGGUAAUGACACUACAGGUGGGCUGAGCCUGGGGCUGGCCACCAAGGUACCCAGUAAGUGAGACACUGCGGUCUCUCUGGAACUAAGAACUUAUGGUUGCCUAGUCUGUAGACAAGAGGGGCAGGCUGACAGCUCAGCUGGCUAGCAGAGUUUUUAGGGCUGGGCUAUUGUUAGGUCAUAAGCAUUGUCUGGUUAUGGGGGUCUGGCUAGGUGGCUAGGUGGCUAGGUGGCACCAAGAGCCACAUGGACAGCAGCACCCGGGGCAGAAUGCUGGUUUGGCUUGUGUCCUGUCAAAGCUGCGAGCCUCAAAGUGGGGCUGCCUUUGUUCAAGAUGAGGCCUUUUUCUGCCUUGUGCAGAAGUUACAGAGAGGCCGGAAAACAUCUACAUUGAGUGUAGUGGGAUUCAUUCAUGAAGACCAAGAUAGGGCCCAGAUGCAUGUGGUCCACCUUGCUUGCUGGACAGAGGAGGAAGCUGCUGGCUGUCUACUUAUUCAGCUAUUCCUGCAUGCUUCCAAAAAACAUAUACCCUCUGCUCUCAAGAUGAGGUGUGUGUCAGAUCCUCAUCUGUGUGGACAGUGACUCCAGAUACCAGGCAUUCUGACAGCAAGCUUAGGAGAACAAUGCACACUGUCCCCAAGUGUUUCAGGGACAAGUGACUGGGGUUCUGAUGGUAAAGGUGUGCCCCAAAGUAAGGGAAGUCAUAAACAGAGCUCCUCAGCACAGAGGGGAGGAAACACUGUUCCCUAUCAGGAGUCCUCCAUGCAAAAGCCAGGUGCAGAGAUCCCACAAGUCUCUGGAACUACAGAUCAGUAGCACAGGCAACAGGCAGCAUACAGGGUAGGAAGUGACGACUAGGGAGGUUAAAUAGCUGACUCAAGGGGUACACAGCAAUGUUGUCUUGCUGGGAUCCUGAUGAGUUGGAGUUUGUAGGGACCAUGAGACUCAUGGGGGCUGGAAAGGUUCACUAUGCAGUCAGUUGGAAUAGAAGGGAGGGUGCAUGGCUUUCCUGUUGCUUCCUGGUGCAGGGCAUUCCUCUGCCAUUUGUCCUCCACUCUGGGAAUGUGUGAAGGACCUACAAGGCUGCACAGCCAGUCCACCAGUCAUUGCUCUUUGUACUGACAUCUGACCCAGAACUGUGAUCACCAAUUUAUCUACCUUUGCCCAAGUUCAAAACUGCUUCAUAUGCCUAGCCAGGAGGAAUGGCUGUCCAUAUGGCUGUCCAGCAAGAAGACUGUGCCCUCAGUGGGAAGGAGCACUGUGCUGGGAGUCAGCUCUGCUCUCAGAAGUUAGCUCUCAGCAGGUGAUGAACUGGGUUAAACUACAAACAAGGUCUUUGCACAACAAGAAGGCUGGGCUGAGUGGCCUCCAAGGCAUUGUGGUUCUGCCCGACCAGAGGUUCUCAGUCUGGAACAUAUAUCCAAGACCUCAGGAGGGCAGGUACCUCACAGUAGGCAGGUGUAUGGGACUGGAUUCUUCAUCUCCAGCAAUGCCCAACUGGUCCAGGUUUCUGCAUCUUAAGAAAGGCUGCUCCAG